GCUUUUGAUGGGCGUCGACCGGCGCACGGGUGAGUAACGCGUAUCCAACCUGCCCACCACUUGGGGAUAACCUUGCGAAAGUAAGACUAAUACCCAAUGACGUCUCUAGAAGACAUCUGAAAGAGAUUAAAGAUUUAUCGGUGAUGGAUGGGGAUGCGUCUGAUUAGCUUGUUGGCGGGGUAACGGCCCACCAAGGCAACGAUCAGUAGGGGUUCUGAGAGGAAGGUCCCCCACAUUGGAACUGAGACACGGUCCAAACUCCUACGGGAGGCAGCAGUGAGGAAUAUUGGUCAAUGGACGAGAGUCUGAACCAGCCAAGUAGCGUGCAGGAUGACGGCCCUAUGGGUUGUAAACUGCUUUUAUAAGGGAAUAAAGUGAGUCUCGUGAGACUUUUUGCAUGUACCUUAUGAAUAAGGACCGGCUAAUUCCGUGCCAGCAGCCGCGGUAAUACGGAAGGUCCGGGCGUUAUCCGGAUUUAUUGGGUUUAAAGGGAGCGUAGGCCGGAGAUUAAGCGUGUUGUGAAAUGUAGACGCUCAACGUCUGCACUGCAGCGCGAACUGGUUUCCUUGAGUACGCACAAAGUGGGCGGAAUUCGUGGUGUAGCGGUGAAAUGCUUAGAUAUCACGAAGAACUCCGAUUGCGAAAGCAGCUCACUGGAGCGCAACUGACGCUGAAGCUCGAAAGUGCGGGUAUCGAACAGGAUUAGAUACCCUGGUAGUCCGCACGGUAAAC
This 732-nucleotide ribosomal RNA is filed under the name uncultured bacterium. RNAcentral describes it as "bacterial SSU rRNA". It matches the Rfam family "Bacterial small subunit ribosomal RNA", at positions 77 to 807 of the family's 1533-position model. The record is from RNAcentral.